RNAcentral lists this ribosomal RNA (496 nucleotides) under uncultured bacterium. RNAcentral's name for it is "partial 16S ribosomal RNA". It matches the Rfam family "Bacterial small subunit ribosomal RNA", at positions 29 to 507 of the family's 1533-position model. The record is from RNAcentral.
AUGAACGCUGGCGGCGUGCCUAAUACCUGCAAGUCGAGCGAACAGACGAGGAGCUUGCUCCUCUGACGUUAGCGGCGGACGGGUGAGUAACACGUGGAUAACCUACCUAUAAGACUGGGAUAACUUCGGGAAACCGGAGCUAAUACCGGAUAAUAUAUUGAACCGCAUGGUUCAAUAGUGAAAGACGGUUUUGCUGUUACUUAUAGAUGGAUCCGCGCCGCAUUAGCUAGUUGGUAAGGUAACGGCUUACCAAGGCAACGAUGCGUAGCCGACCUGAGAGGGUGAUCGGCCACACUGGAACUGAGACACGGUCCAGACUCCUACGGGAGGCAGCAGUAGGGAAUCUUCCGCAAUGGGCGAAAGCUUGACGGAGCAACGCCGCGUGAGUGAUGAAGGUCUUCGGAUCGUAAAACUCUGUUAUUAGGGAAGAACAAAUGUGUAAGUAACUAUGCACGUCUUGACGGUACCUAAUCAGAAAGCCACGGCUAACUACGUG